UUAAGUUCAGCGGGUAUUCCUACCUGAUCUGAGGUCAACCUUAAAAGAGUUGGGGGUUUAACGGCAGGCCGCACCGCUCUCCGCCUGCGAGGUUUUAACUACUACGCAGAGGAGGCUACGGCGUGGUCGCCACUCUAUUUCGGGGCGGCCGCCCGUAACCGGGAGGCCGAUCCCCAACACCACCCCCGACACGAAGCCGG
RNAcentral lists this unclassified non-coding RNA (200 nucleotides) under Hypocreales sp. Its description in RNAcentral is "partial internal transcribed spacer 2". The record is from RNAcentral. Lineage: Eukaryota; Fungi; Ascomycota; Sordariomycetes; Hypocreales.